Molecule: ribosomal RNA, 549 nt
Filed under: uncultured bacterium
Lineage: Bacteria
Description: bacterial SSU rRNA
Rfam family: Bacterial small subunit ribosomal RNA
Source: RNAcentral
UGGGGAAUUUUGGACAAUGGGCGCAAGCCUGAUCCAGCCAUGCCGCGUGUCUGAAGAAGGCCUUCGGGUUGUAAAGGACUUUUGUCAGGGAAGAAAAGGCUGUUGCUAAUAUCAGCGGCUGAUGACGGUACCUGAAGAAUAAGCACCGGCUAACUACGUGCCAGCAGCCGCGGUAAUACGUAGGGUGCGAGCGUUAAUCGGAAUUACUGGGCGUAAAGCGAGCGCAGACGGUUACUUAAGCAGGAUGUGAAAUCCCCGGGCUCAACCUGGGAACUGCGUUCUGAGCUGGGUGACUAGAGUGUGUCAGAGGGAGGUAGAAUUCCACGUGUAGCAGUGAAAUGCGUAGAGAUGUGGAGGAAUACCGAUGGCGAAGGCAGCCUCCUGGGAUAACACUGACGUUCAUGCUCGAAAGCGUGGGUAGCAAACAGGAUUAGAUACCCUGGUAGUCCACGCCCUAAACGAUGUCAAUUAGCUGUUGGGCAACUUGAUUGUUCAGUAGCGUAGCUAACGCGUGAAAUUGACCGCCUGGGGAGUACGGUCGCAAGAUUA